RNAcentral lists this ribosomal RNA (144 nucleotides) under Ovis aries (sheep). Its description in RNAcentral is "5.8S ribosomal RNA (ENSOARG00000022831.1)". It matches the Rfam family "5.8S ribosomal RNA". From Rfam's summary of the family: 5.8S ribosomal RNA (5.8S rRNA) is a component of the large subunit of the eukaryotic ribosome. It is transcribed by RNA polymerase I as part of the 45S precursor that also contains 18S and 28S rRNA. Lineage: Eukaryota; Metazoa; Chordata; Mammalia; Artiodactyla; Bovidae. The record is from Rfam by way of RNAcentral.
GACUGUUAGCGGUGGAUCACUCAGCUCGUGUGUCGAUGAAGAACGCAGCUAGCUGCGAGAAUUAAUGUGAACUCCAGGACACAUUGAUCCUUGACACUUCAAACACACUUUCAGCCCCCAUUAUACAUUUUUUUCUUAUUUUUU